UGGGGAAUUUUGGACAAUGGGCGCAAGCUUGAUCCAGCCAUGCCGCGUGCGGGAAGAAGGCCUUCGGGUUGUAAACUGCUUUUGUACGGAACGAAAAGCCCUUCUCUAAUACAGAGGGGUCAUGACGGUACCGUAAGAAUAAGCACCGGCUAACUACGUGCCAGCAGCCGCGGUAAUACGUAGGGUGCAAGCGUUAAUCGGAAUUACUGGGCGUAAAGCGUGCGCAGGCGGUUAUGCAAGACAGAGGUGAAAUCCCCGGGCUCAACCUGGGAACUGCCUUUGUGACUGCAUAGCUAGAGUACGGUAGAGGGGGAUGGAAUUCCGCGUGUAGCAGUGAAAUGCGUAGAUAUGCGGAGGAACACCGAUGGCGAAGGCAAUCCCCUGGACCUGUACUGACGCUCAUGCACGAAAGCGUGGGGAGCAAGCA
RNAcentral lists this ribosomal RNA (427 nucleotides) under uncultured bacterium. Its description in RNAcentral is "bacterial SSU rRNA". It matches the Rfam family "Bacterial small subunit ribosomal RNA", at positions 355 to 774 of the family's 1533-position model. The record is from RNAcentral.